This 558-nucleotide non-coding RNA is filed under the name Pelecanus crispus (Dalmatian pelican). RNAcentral's name for it is "Eukaryotic large subunit ribosomal RNA". It matches the Rfam family "Eukaryotic large subunit ribosomal RNA", at positions 2516 to 2985 of the family's 3401-position model. Lineage: Eukaryota; Metazoa; Chordata; Aves; Pelecaniformes; Pelecanidae. The record is from Rfam by way of RNAcentral.
UCUGUCACCUCUGUUUUAGUUUGCUUAUACUUUAAAGAAUGGCCCAGAUAACUAUUGACAACACAAGCAAUGAUUGCUCUAGCUUGUUCCCUGCCAGGCCACUCAACUUACAUGAAUGUAUGACCCACAGUAGUACAGGACUUAUGGCUCCAAAUGCCAGGGGACAGUGUCAGGUGGGGAGUCACACUAGAGCAGUAUACUUGUCAAACCAAAAUGCAGUCUCUCAGGGUGAGUCCAGGGAAGAUGGAAAUCUCCAGUGGAGCAGAAGGGCAAAAGCUCACUUGAUCUUGAUUUUCAGAUUUUUUGUGAAAGAAGAGCCUUACAAUACUUCCAACUUCUUGUUUAGUAAGCAGGAUGUGUCACAAAAGUUACCACAGGGAUGACAGGAAGGCCAAAUGUUUAUAAUGACACAAAAUUCAAAAUUUUAAUUUUAAAAUUGUUUUUUUCAUCUUUGUGUCUGCUCUUUUUUUCAGUGUGAGGCAGAAUUCACCAAGCUCUGGAUUGUUCUCCCACUAACAAGGAAUGUGACCUGGAUUUUGGCUGUUGUAAGAAAGGUUA